CUCUGCUGGCAGUCAGCUCAGGAGAUCAGAGAAAUGGAAUACGAACCUUCAUGGUCUCCCUUGUAGGAGAAAAGUUUAAAGUGUAGCACAGAACAGAGCUCUUUUUGUGGCAAGGCCAAAGAACGUCAAUGCAACAACCAAACACCAUAUGAUGAACUCCCAUGGAAUCCCAAGCAAUCUUUCUGGCAGAAGAUUUUCCAGUGAAGAAUCAAAUUCAUCAUAUGAGGGGAGGACAUUUUGAAAAUUAAGGGUACAUUUCAACAAACAAGGCUGUCAGCCUUGCCCUCAAGCUUGAGCCCUAGUUUUCCAGCCCAGC
RNAcentral lists this long non-coding RNA (316 nucleotides) under Calidris pygmaea (Spoon-billed sandpiper). Its description in RNAcentral is "lncRNA (ENSCPGG00000007966.1)". The record is from RNAcentral. Lineage: Eukaryota; Metazoa; Chordata; Aves; Charadriiformes; Scolopacidae.